RNAcentral lists this ribosomal RNA (19 nucleotides) under Ceropegia nilotica. Its description in RNAcentral is "partial 26S ribosomal RNA". The record is from RNAcentral. RNAcentral also lists the same sequence under 1 other name. Lineage: Eukaryota; Viridiplantae; Streptophyta; Magnoliopsida; Gentianales; Apocynaceae.
CCGCGACCCCAGGUCAGAC